Molecule: long non-coding RNA, 605 nt
Filed under: Homo sapiens (human)
Lineage: Eukaryota; Metazoa; Chordata; Mammalia; Primates; Hominidae
Description: non-protein coding LINC02062:32
Source: RNAcentral
CCUUAGUCCGCUGAUCCUCGCUUGGGUGCCCGCCCUUAGCGGCCCGGCGUUGAAUUCCGGGAAGUGGGAGCUUCAGGCUCGCUCCGUGCGGGUAUGGGCGCUAAUGUCACUUGGGAUGGUUGCGCAAGGACAUCGCGGCGGACACUGACAAGGAACCGGGGAGGAACGGGGGUGGGGAGAGACUGCGAUGGGACUCGGGAAGCCGGGAAGGGCCGCGCUGAAUAAGCCUAAGGGGCCGGGUCGCAAGGAGUGUCGGGUAGCACAGGCCUCGGCUCAGUCGGAGCGCCAGGCCUCAGGGUCCGGGCGGGGGCUGCUGCGUCACACCAGGCAGCCUGGGAACGCAACUGUUGGGCAACCGUGGUGGCCUCUCGCCACCUCUUACGCUUGGGCGAUCUGCGAUUGACGCAUCCUGGGAGCUGAUGUCCCGCACGGGCGGGGCGCCGGAGGAGGAGAGAAAAUAGAGACCCGGUUGUUGACAGCCUGUGAUGCCGCUUGAUUCAUGUAUCAUGUUCCUGAGAGAAACCCUCCUUUCCACAACAAACCUCCUACAUGCGCACCUCAGAAUCUCAGUCUAUUUCCUGGGAUCCCAACUUGCAGCUGCUUAC